GCUUCAACCUUGACCUGACUUUAUCCUGAAUUUUUUUCUGCCAGCCCUCAGAAAAAUUUCCAUGAGAAGUGAGAGCUGAAAGAUAUGAGGAAGGUGAGCUGAUGUGAGAACAGACAGAAAAUUUCCUGCCUGUAGAGUUUUCAUACAGCUGUGAGAGUGUUAGCUAACAGGAUGAUUAAAAAAUCUAAAGCUGAAGAAAGUGGAAGAAUAUUUUUAUUUUUAUUCUUAAUACAAGAACAGCUGAAAUGUAUGCACAAACAUUAAGAUAAGAACUUUAUUAAUACCCGAAGGGAAAUUCAAUUGCCUGUUGUCUCAAAUAAUAUGUCUAUAAAAGUUAUCUAUUAUUUACAUAAGAGUUAUAAAGUCUGAUGGCUGUUGGUACAAAAGAUCUGAAUCUUUCUGUCCUGCAGCGAAGAGAGAGGAGCCGUCCACCAUCAUUUGCCCUUUGGUCCAUCAAGGUGUUUUGAAGUGGGUGAUCCAUAUUCUUCAGAAUAGUCUCCACCUUCCUCGGUGUAGAUCUCUCCACCACAUCCUCCACUGAGUCCAGCUUGAAUCCAACCACAGAGCCAGCCUUUUUCACCAGUAUUUUCAGACGUCUUGCAUCUUUGUGUUUGAUGCUUCCUCCCCAGCAGACUGCAGCAUAGAACAGAACACAUAUCAGCACACAUUAGUACAUAUCGUUGAUAUAAAUCACAGCGUUGAACUCUAUUCCUUUAUUCAUCAUAAGGUGCACUUGUGGCUUUCGCAGCGUAUUUCUUUCGCCACGUUCUGCUUGUCCUGAGAUUCUCUUCUGUUCCAAUAGUUGCACUCGACAUUAGGUCAAGGACUCCACAGAACUGUGGAGACUCAUCUUGACAGGAGGAUGGAUAUGUGCACCGAAUGGGGGUAAAAUCGAAAUAUGUCCAUGUGCUGAUAAUAUCAAACAGCUUGUUUGUGGUUUUCAGGUUGGACUGGCCUUCAGUGAUCAAAGCUACAGCAGGCUGUGUCCACAUGUUGUUGACUAGACACAGUGAAUUCUUCACAAAGGAUUCUUCUCUUGAAGGAUAUUUGAACAAAAGGUUUAAAAAUAAUACACAACAAAGAGAUGGGUGUGUGUUGUGUCAGACUGUUUUUAUGUUUUAAAGCUGCGUACCUAGAGUACUUUGACUUGUCUUCUAAGGAGGUCUUUCUGAAGUAUCUUGGUCUUUAUUUUUUUCUGCUUUCAUGAAUGUUUUUCAUGCAGUUCCAUCAGAUUUUGCUUUGAUUCUUUUCUGUUUUUGUUGGAACAGCAGAUGAAAAACUUGGAAUAUUAGAAACUCUACAGUCAGCUCUACAGUCUCUCCUUUUGCGUUAAAUUACUCAUCUCAUGCCAAUGUUUGUGCCACUGCAACUCUUUGCAGCUCAAUGCAGACAAAACUGAAACACUGGUUAUUGCCCCCAUUGACUCAAUUCCAGGGAAUAAACAGUACUUAGGUGGCUUAGGCCAGUCAGCUAUACCUAGCCUAAGAAACCCAGGUGUCAUCUUUGACAAAGACAUGUUCUUAGUGCAACACUGUAAACAGUUGACGAGAAACUGCUUCUUUCAACUGAGGAAAAUCUCUAAGCCUAGGAAAAUGGUGUCACAAAAUGACUUGGAGCUCAUCACUUGUGCCUUUGUGUCCUCAUGUUUAGACAAUUACAAUAGUUUGUUUUUAUGUUUGAACAAAAAGGAGCUGUCUCGUUUGCAAUUAGUGCAAAACUCUGCAGUGAGGAUUCUGACCUGCGCGAAUAGGAGGACACACAUUUCCCCUAUUCUUAAAGCUCUACAUUGGCUGCCUGUGUCCUUUAAGAUCAAUUUUAAAAUUCUGGUCCUUGUGUUUAGAGCCUUACAUGACCAGGCUCCAUCUUACAUAUGUGAUCUAAUCCAGCCUUACACCCCCUCUCGGGCUCUGAGGUCCGUGGAUCAGAAUCUACUGAUGGUUCUGCACACUCGUUUUCAGACCAGAGGAAACAGCUUUUUCUAUGCUGUUUCUCCCAGGCUUUGAAUGAUCUUCCUCUCUCUCUGGGUUUAACUGACUCUAUUUGCUCCUUUAAAAACCAACUCAAGAUAUAUUUAUUUGCUCAGGCAUUUUGUUUAGUUAUUUUUGGGGCUGCCAUGAUUGUUAAUGUUGUUGUCUUGGCCUUUUAAAUACAUUUUUGCCUUUUGUUUAUGUUAAGCACUUGGUGACUUUUUGUCAGUGAAAGAUGCUAUAUAAAUAAAGUUUACUUACUUUACUUACUUUCUACUUGUUGCUGAUGAGGAUUUACUGACCAUAAAUCUAAAAUAUCCUCAUCCCUGUUACAUACUGCUUAUAAAUUUACUAAUUUACUUACUUAAAUGCUCUCUUUGUGCCAAAGUGAUGUCUUUUUGAUAGCUUUGAUAGCUCAUCAGUUAGAAGACAGGCUCAUAAAUACUGUUAACUCCAGAGGCUCCUGCUGGCAAUUUUACAGUUUCUGCUGUUCUACACAGACUUGUCUAUCAUUGUUAAACAUUGAUUGAACUUAAGGUUAUUUGUAGAUAGACUCACAAUUAUGCAAGUAUUUUAUUCUAGUUGCGUUAACACCUGUAAAAAAAUAAAUAAAUAAACGAUAAUCACACUGAAAUUUACAUGUAAGAUUGUUAGUUACUCUGUUUUAUUUUACUGGUCAAGAGGAAGACCAUAAUAUGUUUGUACUGUAUUGUAUAAAAUAUUCCUUUAAUUUGCAGUUUCUUUAAGUGUCAGUCUUUGCCACAAGAGGGCAUCAUUGUAUCAUCCCCUGAAUACUCCUUCUGACUCCUCAUGUCAUAAUGCAUAUGCAAAUACAUAUAACUGUUCAUGUUUUUGACACAGAACUUCAGUAUAUUUUUCUGACAGUGUUCAGCAUGGCAAUAAAAUAAUCCAAAGUCAAGCUCCUAUGUACAUGUAUAAAAGUCAAAGCAGCUCUGAAACACUUCUUCACAUUGGUCACUAGGGGUCAGUGUGCAUAAAUCCUACUUCUCAUGUUAACUCCCAUCCUUACCACAUGUCAUACACAUAUACCAUCUGUGUAAACAUAUUUGAGGCAGAACUCUGCAUUAAUUUGGACAGAUUGCUGAGGCUCAACCAAGAUAAUGGAUCAUAAUGUCACCACAGACAUCAUAUCCUUGCAGGCAAUUCUUAAGGUUUUUUUUUUUAUUAUUAUUAUCUUAAUUACUAUUAUUCUUAAGGUGAUGAAGCAUACACCCAUUUUAACAGUCACAUGGUUUAUGGUUUUUCCAGAGACAAGAUAGCUGACUCACCUUUGGUCAGUUAACACUGUAGUGUUUCACAACAAAAUAAUGUUAUGGCGUGAUGGCUCGUAUGGAUAAUCCUUUUUUAUUUAAGUAAAUCCUGAUUAAGUAUGAUGUUGAUUUUCUCUGGUUGUACAGGAAUGACCAGCCUAGUGAUGAGAUGAUUCUGCUCCAGCAAAAACUUAAUUUUACACCCCAGCACUGUACAUUUAAUAGUACAAUAAAUAUGAGUGGAACACUUGGCAAAAUACAGACUAAAAAUUUCAGAUUGAAAUGCUCACCUACUCUCCUCUCUAAUCCAUGAAACAACAAUGUUAUCCUCCAUUUACCAACUUUUACCAUGAAAUACUUAAAUCUGUACAAUUUUAAUUGCACUCACCAGCAACCACUUUCCUCUCCACUUUGUCUUACCACCAUUGUAUUUCCACACCAUUGUGUUUCCACACCAAAACACACAUGUUACCAGUCUGUCCAUUCUGGGCUACUGCAAGAAGAGAACCCACUCAUAUGUGUGUGUGUGUACAGUAUAGCCUAUACAGUAUAAAAGCCUCAUUCUAAGUUAAUACCACACCCUUAAAUAUUAUCAUAUUUAGGUGAUUAUACACCAAUCUAAACACACUUAAAUAUAUUAUAUUAUAUUUCUACACAGUCUGUUCUGAUAAAUGCUGCCAAAUUCUACAGACUGUACCUUUAAAACACAUGUAAUAAGUAAGUUUCAUGCAUAGCUAACACAGUAGUAAGCCAUGGCAUUUUUUUGUUUGUUUUGUAAUUAACAUUACCUUUGGGCAAUUCAAUAUUUUGUGUUUUUAAUAGAUCAUACUCUGCACAAUUAGAAAUUAUUUAGAUUUUGGGCAGUGACAGGGCGCUGACUUUUGCAGGGAUGGCAUGAAGCACUGUAUAGGUGCACACGCAAACCAAUACACUCAAGAAUAAAUAGCAUGUUUACCUCUUUAUCUGGGCUAAUCAUAUCUACUAUUUAAAUUGAAGCUCCUGUUUAAGGUUUAUGAAAUCAGCUUGCAUUCAUGUUGAUGGUUUUUUAUAAUUUCUGGAGUGAAACUAGACCAUCAGCAACAAGAUUGUUGAUUUUCACAUCCUUUUUUGAUGCCUGUAACCAGUGCAGGCCACAAGUGUCGACCGAGCAGCUGAAGAAAUGUUGACAAUAAACCAAACAUGUGAUUGUCAAAAGUUAGCUGGAUGAGGUUUAUUGUUUAUUAAGCAAGCACUAUAUAUUAUCUAUAUUCCUGCAUAUUUUUCCAUACAACAAUCUCAAGAAUGGAGAGACGGAGCGCUCUCAUCAUCUUGAAUCUUAAAGGAUUUAAAAAAGAUGGUGUGUGUCCACAUCACAUCUCAGUCACCUCUAGUCCAGCCCCUAUGUGGGAUCUCAGACGAUGAUGAUGUAACAACAGUGUCAACAAAAACCAUAUGGACAGAAACAGACAAGGAUCUCACUGAGUUCAUUCUUGCAGGGUCACUUCCUACAUUUAUCAUUUUUAUGUUGGACCUCAGACAGUUAGUCAGCCAGAUCAGACAGCAGAGGGACUCAGAGGCUAUUGAAGAAAUGUCUAUUCAUCCUAUCCUCUUAUUCAUCGCUGCUCUCGUGCACUAUUCUUCCAUCAAGGUUUCUUCCUUUUACACAUUCAUGAAACAUGAAACUUCUCCUGACUGAACCUUUUCCGAGAACUGUGUGAGCGAGUCUUGAACACAUUGUGUUCACCAUGUCCCGGACUCUCCGGUAAGGUCUGUCUCACUUGUUAGAGCAGGAAAACCUUAACUUUAUCUUCUUUGUUGUUGUUGUUGUUGUUUCCAACACAUCCAGCUUGGUGACCUUGGUGAACUCUAGACUCCACCCAACUUCAACCUGAGCAGAAGUCUAAUGAGGCAGAGUAACUGAAAGCAUCUGUUUGGUUGUGAAAGGAAUUUGUCAAACUAGCACUCCCCUGUAUUCCUGAAGCUGCUUUUCUUGCUCUUUGUGGUACCAAAGUGAAAGUUAAGCAUCUAGUUGGUUUUCUCAGAGGAGGAUAUUGAUUUGCCUCUGUUUUAGCUAAUUCCACUUUUAAAACUUGAAACUUAAAAGGAAAAACACUCUCACAGCCAUCAAAUAAGUCCUUAUAACUUGUUCUGAGUCCUGGGGUCAAAGGUCAUAUCCAUGCAAACAGGGCAGCUGACAGAAGGAAAACAAUCCAGCCACUCUGUAACUAAAUAUCAUACUUUCUGUCACUGGAUAUGGCGGGGUUUUGAAGCAGGAGCUCUGCAGGUGUGUGGGUCUCACACAUGUGAGGUAAACUCUUACAUAAGAAUCAUCAUACUCACUUUGCCUUCAUGCAAAUGUGUGUAUGGCCAGUCUGUCAGGGAAAACAGAUGCAGCCUGAUCUCUGCUAAGCACACGCACAUGGACAAGAAUAAAACUCUUAUGCAUUUUUUUUUUUUUAAGAUCCGUUUCCUUGCUUUCAUGAUAGUCACUCAGCAACGUACUGUAUAUACUUAUUUCACACUUUUGGCUCCAGAUCUUACGGUCAAGCUUUUUAGUCCUGUGAUUCAGAGAGGAAUGAUGCCAAAGAGGAAAUCAAAUCAGUCUUUUGUGGCAAGAAGAGUUUCAGAUAACUGUAUCAAACAACCCCAUGUUUAAUCAUUUUAUUCCAUAUUUUCCAUGCCCCGGGGACAAAACACACUCUACUACACUAACAUAUCUCAGGUGUGACAUUAUGUAAGCAACAUGCAACCUGGCUUUCAUUAUGUAAAUGCAUGUGGCUUGGGUUUCAGGCAAAGUGACUUCCGAAGCUGACAGCUGCAUCCUUUGUCUAUUCCUCGACUGCGGUGGAAAAUACUGAUACUGAUCAUAAACAGAUCUGCUUAAGCCUGAAAAAUAGCUUCAGGAAAACUCCCUGUAGGCCAUGUGGGCUAAUUUGGGACAGACUAGAGUUUCCUAUGAAAUAAGAAGACUUUCCAUAAAUAUGCAUCAGUCUGAGGAGGCAGCCAAGAGUUAAAGAACCCAAAAAGACAGCCAGUUUUUGGAGAUUAAUCAUGCUGGGAGAUACUUGAAAUAGAGUCUUACAUGGUGAAUAAUGUUGGUUUUGUUGUAGUAGAAAUAUGGCACCUUAAUAGGGCUUCACUAAACCAUUUUACAGGCUAACUGUCCCUUUGGUACUCUGUUUAAUAAACUCUUACAGUUCUUUUUAAUCAUACAAGUAAACAGUAAUAAAAUAAUAUGCAUGGGAAAUAUUUGAACAGUGCAUUUUAAUAAUAUUAAUCACUUUAGAGGUUUAGUUUAGAGAAAUGGGAUUAGAAAUAUCUGGCAGUCAGAUUCUGGACUGAAAUGCACCCCUGCUGAAGCGAUGGUGGCCUUCAGGGACAAAAAGCUCCUGUUUGUCAAGUUUUUGCAUCUAAUACAAAGUCUUCUGCGAAAAAACAAUGACUCAGUUCACCUUUUGAUUUGGGCAUGUUGUGCAGAUAAUCACUUAAUUAAAAAAUAUGUAUGUUACCAGUAUGCCCAUUGCCCAUUCUGUGCACUGUAGAGAUACACCCCACUUCUUAUGUGGGUACAAAAGGCUAAUUUAAAGUUAACAUAUUUAAACACAUAUUUAAAAAUGUCAUAUUUGUUUUCUACAAAGUCUGUCUUGCUUAAUGCUACUGACGGUUACACACUGUAUCUCAAAGAAAUGGAAGGCAGCAGUGGAAAGCAUGCACACACUCACACUAGCUGUUCUGUAGACGAGUACUGCAUUCACUAGACAAAAAGUCUCACUAAGUUUGUUUUUUCUAAAUAACCAAGAUGCAGGUCCCCAAUGGAAGGUC
Non-coding RNA from Xyrichtys novacula (pearly razorfish), 7039 nucleotides. The record is from the annotation of a GenBank genome assembly. NCBI's taxonomy places the organism in Eukaryota, Metazoa, Chordata, Actinopteri, Labriformes, Labridae.